CUGGUUUUCACAGUGAUUUGACAGAUAUAUUUGAUUCUGAGAUCAUUGUGAAAGCUGAUU
RNAcentral lists this microRNA precursor (60 nucleotides) under Tribolium castaneum (red flour beetle). RNAcentral describes it as "Tca-Bantam_pre stem-loop". The record is from RNAcentral. Lineage: Eukaryota; Metazoa; Arthropoda; Insecta; Coleoptera; Tenebrionidae.